GUCUUGUAUAAAUCAAUUUUAUUCAAAUAAUUAACAACCAGAAAUUACAAUUGCAUAGUUUAAACAUAUUGCAUAUUUUUAUAAUUUCUGUGUCUGCAUUUUAAUAUGGGAAUUAUUUUCUGGUCAUGUGGGCAGUUUAUAUUAAUAUAUUUCAUUCAAUAUAUUUGGGGCAAGAUAUAUAAUUUAUUUCUCAUUUUUUAAAUAAUAAAGUCACAAAAUAGUUGUUUACCAAGAAAAUUGCCUAAUCUAAGUUAUGACAAUCUUCUAUAUAUUCAAGAAAGAAUUAAAAACAAACAUAAAUAAUAAAAUCUCUAAAUACAACAACUCAGAAUAAAAACACAAUGCAUCAACAACACAACUACACACAAAAAUGUAGUUU
This 379-nucleotide long non-coding RNA is filed under the name Mytilus galloprovincialis (Mediterranean mussel). Lineage: Eukaryota; Metazoa; Mollusca; Bivalvia; Mytilida; Mytilidae. The record is from RNAcentral.